This 4080-nucleotide small RNA is filed under the name Pongo abelii (Sumatran orangutan). RNAcentral's name for it is "retained intron". The record is from RNAcentral. Lineage: Eukaryota; Metazoa; Chordata; Mammalia; Primates; Hominidae.
CUUCAUUUGUUUCUACCAGAUUGCCACCCUAGUAAAUAUUCUUUAUUUAUGCUGGUAAAAAAUUGCCAUCCAAAUAAGAUGAUUCAUGAUACUGGUAUUCCUGCUGAGUGUCAAAGUGGCCAGAAAACAGUUAAACCAAAAUGGCGCAACGUUACUCAGGAAAAGUCUGGUUGGGUUGAAUGCUGGACUGUCCCAAGUGUCAUGCUUACAAUUGAUUAUACAUGGCAUCCAAUUUAUCCACAAAAAGCAGAUGAACAGCUAAAACAAUCAUUAUCAGAAAUGGAAGAGACAAUGCUAUCUGUAUUAAGGCCAUCCCAGAAGACAUCAGACAGAGUUGUUUCUUCUCCCUCUACUUCUUCACGCCCACCUAUUGAUCCCUCAGAACUUCCACCUGAUAAACUUCAUGUAGAAAUGGAACUUUCUCCAGAUUCUCAGAUAACUCUCUAUGGACCUCUACUAAAUGCCUUUUUGUGUAUAAAGGAAAACUACUUUGGGGAAGAUGACAUGUAUAUGGAUUUUGAAGAGGUUAUCUCAAGUCCUGUUUUGUCACUGUCAACAUCAUCCAGCUCUGGGUGGACUGCUGUUGGAAUGGAAAAUGACAAAAAGGAAAAUGAAGGUUCAGCCAAGUCAAUUCAUCCACUUGCCUUGCGUCCUUGGGAUAUUACUGUACUUGUUAAUUUGUACAAAGUUCAUGGGCGUCUUCCUGUUCAUGGAACUACUGAUGGUCCUGAAUGCCCUACAGCUUUCUUGGAAAGACUAUGUUUUGAAAUGAAAAAAGGAUUUAGGGAGACCAUGCUGCAACUUAUCCUGUCACCCCUGAAUGUGUUUGUCAGUGAUAACUAUCAGCAGCGACCCCCUGUGGAUGAAGUACUCAGGGAAGGUCACAUCAAUUUGUCAGGUCUCCAGCUGAGAGCACACGCUAUGUUCUCAGCAGAAGGUCUUCCUUUGGGAAGCGAUUCCUUAGAAUACGCAUGGCUAAUUGAUGUGCAGGCUGGAAGUCUUACAGCUAAGGUCACAGCACCACAGGUAUGGUUUUCAGAGUACUAUCUCCUGACUUAUUUUCUUUUUCCUUUCUCUACCCACCUUCUCAAGAAUAACUUGUAUGCCUGUUUGAAUGUUCAUUGCAUUUCCACUAAUGGCAUUCUGAUGGAAGUCAUUCUUGCCAUUCAGAAUUUUAGUUAUAGGUGAGUCAGAGACAAGUUUCACUUUUCUGAGCCACAUAUAAUUUGUUGGGUGUAAUGUGUGUAGAUCUAUAUAAUAUUUCAAAGAAUUUGAGACUUUCUUUGGGAAAAAUUCAGGAUGAGUACUUUUCUAGAAGUCAUUAAUAUAUUAUUAAAAUUAUAUUACUUGUCCCUCCAUUGUUGGAAAAAUCUUAUUUUUCUACUAUAUGGAGUAAUUUUCUAAGAACUUUGUUUUCUUACAUAUGUUUAAAGUAGGAUUUGAAAGUAGCCCUUAUGAUGCUAAGGAUUAGGUAAUAAGGUUCUUUGCUUGUCAUGUCCCAAAGCAAGAUUACAUCAUUUGUACCUGCUGUUAGUGAUGUGGAUAAUAGUUUCAAAAAAUAAAAGUGAGUUUACUGGUAUGUAAGUCUGGUCUAGAAUUCUAGGUGUGAUCCUUUUGGAUAAAUUCUCCCCCACCACCCCUUUCACUUAAUCCUUAGAAGGCACAAAAGCCUUAAUAUGUUAUUUGUUUCUAAUUGGCCACUAAAGUUUAGUUGAAUUGCCGUAUUAUUGUAACAUUUCACCUGAGUCAUAUAUUUAUUACAAUAUGAAUGCUCAUCUUUAUAUUUCAAAAGACUGGAAUUUGAUAGGAAUGUUACAUACUCAAUUUUGAUAAAAACUUAUAGAAUGGGUAUAAAACAUAUAAUUUAGAGGUAGGUAGUAGCAACAAGAAAGUAAUAAAGAACCUAGAUGCCCUUUAUACCUGGAAGAAAUCGUCAAAGGGUAGCAAAAAUUAAUAUUCUAGAAAUGGUGAGAAAAUGAAUAGAAUUGAAAAGGGAUAUUUUGGAGUUGAAUGUCAUCUCAAUAUAAUAUUAGAAUGUAUAAUGAUAUUUAUAAAAAUAUGUGAAAAGAAAUGCAUAAUGGAAUGUAUAAAAAUGGAUGAAAAGCAAUAGUCAUUGCUCACUGGCCUUGUAACUGUCCUCUCCUUAUUAUCUCCCAUUUCCCAUCCCUAAGUAUACAAGUAAAAACUGAAGCAUAUUCCAAAGCAGCUUGUUCCCUAAGAAGGGAAUAAAGCCAUGCUGACCCUGCAAGACUGGGUACAAUUCCUUUAUUCUAAGAACUGCUAGAAUCUUACAUGUUUAUAAAUUGCCUUUAUAAGGUAAAACAUUUCUCUUUCUCCUGCAUAAAAUCUUGGCAUCACUGUUUGCUGCACAGUUCAUGAAUCUGUAGGCACUUUUAUGUUUAUUCCAUUCUCUGUAUGUUUUAAAAGUAAAAUUUAUAUUUUCCAAGAGUUUAAAUUAUGUACUUAUUUGGGGGGAUAAUGUCAUGUGUAUCUAUCCCUCAAUGUUUUUAACAGCUCUAAUCAAUUAGGGUUUUUUGUUUUUUUUUUUAAACUGAAGAUUUGAAGAAUUAUGAUAUAUGCUUACUUAAGCUUCUAUUUACAUAAACAAAAGUGCUUUAAUCUUCAAAAUACCUGGUUUUAAAAAAAUCGUAGCUCAAUGUGAUAUUUAGAUACUUUUUCACAUAAAAGUUUGGUUUAUGAUUGGAGAAUUUUAGGUGCUUUUCUAUGUGGAGAUUUCAGUUAGCUAUAUAAGAGGGAAGAUAUAUAACCUUGAAUAAAAGGAUUUGCGUUAAAAGUUGCUGAAGUGAAAUUUUUCAGUUGAAAUGAGUUUUCAUUUUGACAGUGCAUUUUGUCAUUCAUAAAGGAAAAGUAACGUAAGCAUAUAAAUGAUAUUAAAGGUAGAAAAAAAUCAUUGGCUAACAAGUUGCUUAUUUAGCAGAAGUUUUAAGACAGUGUUUGGGUUCUUUCAAGCUACGUUAACAUUCUUCAGAAGCUUUUGAACUCUAAACACUUGUUUAGAAUGCUAACAGUGUUGUCAACUUGUCACUGAUUAUCUGUAGCUGGCAUGCCUCUUGGAGUGGGGACAGACAUUUGUUUUUCAUGUGGUAUGUCGGGAGUAUGAACUGGAAAGACCAAAAUCAGUAAUAAUAUGUCAGCAUGGAAUUGAUCGUCGGUUCUGUGAAUCCAAGGUAUGUUAACAAAUAUGUUAGCAAUAUUGUAAACAUUUAUAAAUUUAAAAAAAUGGAAUAUUGAGAUAUCAGCUUCAAGUCAAAUACACAUAGCCAUGCAGCAAACUACAGUUUUUUCAGUUAAUAAAAUUAUUUUUAAAAUUCUUAGCCAUUUUAGUUUUAGGUAUCUAAAAUAUGAGAUAAUUAUUAAAACAUACAAAUUAAAAAAUAAACAGAAUUAUAAAAAUUAUAUUUUGCUUACAUUUUUACUGUUAACAUUCAUGUCAUAUUGCAUUAUUAUACUUGUUGGGAUGUGGCUAUAUAUUUAUAUAGAAGAUUUAGAAAUUGAAGCAAAGAGAAGGUUGAAUUCUUCACAUGAUAUGGUUUGCAGACCACUCUGGACAUGGCAAGGUUGGUCAUUUGCCAGGUUUCCUGACUCCGCAUGUUAUGCUCUUUUCACAACAUUGUGCCACCUUCAUUAAGGGUCAUUACAAUAUCUUCACAAGGGUUGCAAAAAGUAGAUGGUAAUCCCUAAAACCAUGUGCAGUGGCAAUGAAAUGCAUAGUAUUAUUGUGCAAUAAAUACUCUCCCUUAUGAAUUUGGGGAGGGAGGCAUUUUCUUCCCCUGAUUUUGGAAGCAUGGUUAUUUCAGAAAAUCUGGAAAGCAUGGCUGUUUCAAAAAAGAAAAAUAACUUACCCUGGUUCUACAACACAGUGGUUAACAGCUUAGUUUUUCUUUCUAGUUCUUUCCUAUAUGUGUCUUUCCUUUUUUGUUCUUCUACUAUACAAAUUAUAUUUGUUUGCUGUUGUAUUACUGUGAAUUGAAAUUAGUUCAUCCUACUUUUAUGUCCAAAAAAAAACCUGUAACGCAUCCUUAUAUAUUGACAAUAAAGGAAACAGUUAUACUUGGUGAU